This 253-nucleotide ribosomal RNA is filed under the name uncultured bacterium. RNAcentral's name for it is "partial 16S ribosomal RNA". It matches the Rfam family "Bacterial small subunit ribosomal RNA", at positions 524 to 776 of the family's 1533-position model. The record is from RNAcentral.
UACAGAGGGUGCAAGCGUUAAUCGGAAUUACUGGGCGUAAAGCGUGCGUAGACGGUUACAUAAGUCGGGUGUGAAAGCCCCGGGCUCAACCUGGGAAUUGCAUUCGAGACUGCGUAGCUAGGGUGCGGAAGAGGGAAGCGGAAUUUCCGGUGUAGCGGUGAAAUUCGUAGAUAUUCGCAAGAACACCAGUGGCGAAGGCGGCUCACUGGCCCGAUACUGACGCUCAUGCACGACAGCGUGGGGAUCAAACAGG